Molecule: ribosomal RNA, 198 nt
Filed under: uncultured eukaryote
Lineage: Eukaryota
Description: partial large subunit ribosomal RNA
Rfam family: Eukaryotic large subunit ribosomal RNA
Source: RNAcentral
AUAUCAGUAGCGGAGGAAAAGAAACUAACAAGGAUUCCCGUAGUAACGGCGAGUGAACUGGGAUCAGCUCAAAUUUAAAAUCUGGCCUUCGGGUCCGAAUUGUAGUCUAAAGAGGUGCUAUCAUGCAGACGACGUGCGUACAAGUGUCCUGGAAUGGACCAUCACAGAGGGUGAGAAUCCCCGUUCGAUUGGACACUG